Molecule: long non-coding RNA, 14282 nt
Filed under: Fragaria vesca (wild strawberry)
Lineage: Eukaryota; Viridiplantae; Streptophyta; Magnoliopsida; Rosales; Rosaceae
Description: long non-coding RNA (FVES_LNC005538)
Source: RNAcentral
UUUCAUGUAAUGGCUGCACUCUAGAUCUUCUCUGACAUAUCCUUUCCCUAAAUACAAGUUAUAUAAAAAGGGACAGUUAGCACUUAGCACAGCAAGCCACAUGUCAACUAGUGUGCCAUCUUUCACACCAGAAAUCAAAGUCCUACCAAUUAUAAAAACUUGGUUUUACCAGUUGAUGCGAAAGUUUCGAUUGCAAAAAAUUCACCCUCUUCCAUUUUUGUCUGCUCCCCACCUUUUACAAUGGGAACUGAUUUUCCAGCAUGGAUUUGGUAAGGUCCAAUGCUAUGUCCAUUCAAGUUCCGGAUACUUUUAACUGCCAUAAGUAUCCAUAAUUAAUGAUAUGACAAGAGAAGAUAUAAAAAGCUCUAUUUAUUAAAGAAAAUAAGUAUGCUGGAAGUAAAAAUACAAUACAUCAUACCAUUAACACUGACAAUUGACAAAGGUAACCAUCUCUCACAUGAGUCAAAUCAAAAGGAAAAUUACCUUGAAACACCUUCCCAUUGAUUUCAACCUCAUAUGAUUCCAUGACUUCUUGAAUUGCAGCACCAACAUCACAAAGACGCACAUCAAUUCCAGACUCCUAAAAAAAUAAGACCGAGAAUAACUAUGUAAGAAGCUGUUUGAUUGAAGCACUAAAGUCCAGUACUGGUAAAAAUACCAUGCUGUAAUCCAGCGAUGAUGAUCAAUCAAGAUAGUAAUAAUUAGAGACCAGAAUACAAUUUACAACCCUGAGGUUUACAUAGUUUUCCAAGGUCAUACCUGUGAGGAGCCUGAAGUAGGAGUUCUAGAUACCAACAGCUAAGUAAGAAACCAAUGCGAGAAAAAGAAGAAAAAAAGAAGAAAAUAAAAGAACCUUUGUAGUAUUCAUGAACAUAAGAGAUGUAACUUGGAUGAUAUCCCACAUAUGCAUACAACAGAUUCAUUUCCAAUACAGCUCUUUGGUUUUUCUUUUUCCUUUUUUUUCUUUUUGCAGAGACCACGCCUCAGUCCCUUCUAUGGUCUGCCUAACUCCUGUUGCUCAAUAUUUGACAAAGUCAAGACCAAAAUAUUCGUUAUUUCUUGAUACCUGACCGUCAGUUUAGUCAAACAACAAGUGAUGCUCCAGCACUAGCGGCACCCGUGAUCUCUUGUCUCUUGGAGAGUAUAUUGGGAUUUCACUGCUUUUUUCUUUUGUUGCUACCUUCUAUAUUUGUGUAUUGUAUUUACUAUUUAUUCACUGUCUUCUAGAUGGUCUUGGGUGCAAAAGGCUGCCAAAAAAUCUAAAAGCAUGCCCGCAGUCCUGUCAACCCUCCCACCCUAUCUGCCCUGCCUACUCUCUAUAAUACUACAAGUGUUAGGAAUGCUUCUUCCUUUUAGUUAUUUUCCUCGUUUUGUUCUCUGAUAGGAACCACGUUACUGUGGAAGAAAAAGAGAUACAGGAGCUGUGGAUAAGAAGUUGACAGCACCAAAGAACAGGGCAAAAAAAAAUCAUCAAAACAAACAUGAGCAAGAAAACAUCAGUAACACAUUAGCCUAGGAGACACAAAGCCUGAAAACUAAGUUUCAGCAUCCUUUAAGUUCUCAACAAUAGAAGACAGGGUGUAGUUAUUAAUUCAUUAAAAAUAGACGCCCAUAAGGAUGAUAAGAACCUAUGUCUCUGAAAGCUCAUCACUCCCUCACCACCUUUCUAGUCUUCCCUUCGGUUUUCCAUAGACUUGAAUAACACAAUAUUGAAUACUUGGGCUCGUUAACAGUGUAAAAAGAAGGGGAAAAAAUGACUUGAUUGCACAUAUGUUUCAACAAAGUUAGUAUAUAUGAUGUAAUCUUGAAAAAUGAGUAUAAUAGACUUAUGUGAGAUGGAUAUCUAUCAUUCUUGAAUUUUGAUAACUUAGAGUCAUUUUCUACUUACUCAUCAUAUUAUCCACUCAAACAUCUGUCCUUAUACUCACAACAACAAACAAACACUUUACAAGCAAUAAUUUUCAUGCACUUCAGCCAAAGAGUUAUACAGAUUUCGAUGGACUUGCAGAAAUUGGACUGUAAGUACCUUGAUACCAGUAUUUGUUGCUUCACGUGAGGCUUCAAGUAGUGGAUUAAACAUAGGAUUGAAUGCUACUGUAAAGGCACAGUCAACUAUAUGACCUGUAAAGUCAACAACAACUCAGAUGAUUCCUUGCCCUUCAAAGUAUAUGAUAGUUCACACCAAGAGGUAACUUCUGAAGAGACAUCGAAAUACAGUCAAGCAGUUCAAAUUGAAUUACCAUCAACAUGAGUUCCAAAAUCUAGCUUCAUCACAUCAUCAUACUGAAGCACUGUUUUGUCCCCUGUAUUUGGGGUCCAAUGAGCAGCAACCCUGAUAAUACGGAUCAAUGAAUAUAAACACAACAAUAUGAAGAACGAUAGAUGAAAUAAAAUUCAUGGCUGACAUAUUAAAAAAGAUUACCAAUUCAAAGAGCAUCCUGUGGGGAAUGCAAUGCCUGCUUCCAGACCAUUCUCGGAUAUUAAUCUACGGACUGUGUUCUCCAAAGUCUCACACAAAUCAGUCAUCAACAUUCCAGGCUUUAAGAUCGAUCUAAUGUAUUUCCGUACCUAUUUUAAGUGUUAUCAAAGAUAACAGUAAGUUUCCUCUCCGCAAGAUAUAAUGAAAAAUGCAUUAUAUUGACAUAAUGAAAUUGCACCUGGCGAUGAACUUCUGCAGCUCGACGAACUGAAUUAUAUAAUGGUUUUUCAAGGCGCUCCAACUCCCUCUUCUCUUCAGAGGUAGUCCUCCACAAGUUGCUGAAAAACAAUGCAAAUUUUAAAUAAAAAAAAAAACAAUGAAACAAAAUUAGGAUGCUUUCAAUUUAUAGGAUAAUAUGUCCAACAAAGAGAAUAUUCCAUUAGUGAUUUGAAAUAUGUAAGCUUGCAAGAAAAUAGCAUAUACUCACUCGUCUCUGUAUUGUUGAAUUUCACCCUCAGGAUACUCCCCAUGAGGGAAUAGAUCAAUAAGUGGAAUGGAUGGUGGAUCAGUUUGCCUACUUUUUGAUUGUGGAUUAGUCAACCCACUUGUAGAUUGUGGAUCAGUUUUCCCACUUGUAGUCUGUGGGUCAGUUAGCUCUGUCUGUGCUUUCUUUUUCCUACACAUAAGAAAAGAUAUUAUAAGCUUUCUAGUAAAAUAGUUCCGGAAAAACCUUAUUAAAACCAGAAAUGUUCCUUACUUGCUCUUAUUUUUCUUCUUCUUUUUCUUUGAAACAUCUGCACGAUGCAAAUAUUAGGAACACAUCAACAAAUUGGAGUAUACAACGCUAUAGCUGUCCAGCAAAAGUAAAACUCCACUUACUAUUAAAGUAAAUUCACAAUACUAAGAACUUCCAAAGGUAUAGAUACUUUUUAAUGGAACUCUUAACCCUGGAGAGGAUUUACCCACUUGCUACCCUAGGGAUUCUUAGGGACAAAACCAGUGACUGGGUGGAUGGUGUGAUCAGUUAUGUAACCUUAUAAAUAAAAAUACAUGACAGUGGAAUUCAAAUGGUUUUCCUGUUUUUGCAUCCAAAUUCCCAAAAUAAAAGGUCAGUCACAACUGGUUGGGAAAAUAAUUGGACAAGUGUAUGAACAGUCAAGACUUAGACAAAACUUAAGGGACCUAAAUACAACCCUUACAUGGAUUACAUAAAUACAGUCCAAGAUUUUGAUAAACGUUUAUUUUCUCUUCUAAUGGCCGGGAAAAUUAUAUGGUGGAACACCUAACUCCAGAUGAAGAAUAAAGGUGGUUACAUGCACUGUUAUGGCACAAAUUCCGCAAACAAGGAGGAAAUAUAUAGAUUCCUUGUUCUACAUACUUCAUGUGGCCUUCACUACUUUGGAUAAUAAGCCAAAUCGGACGUAUAGCAAACUGACAGCUGAUUAGGAUGUACUAAAUUACUUGAUUAUCAACCCAAUCUGAGAAGGUGCUAUCUGAGGCAGGCCUCUCCAGUUUUGAAUCUUAACAUCCUAGCAUAUUCUAGUAUCAUUUGGUCCAUCCUUUAAGUUCUAUGAUUGCACAAAGUUCCAUCCGCCCUCUCCUAAGUGAUACAUCAAUAUAAGUCACGGAGAAAUAACAGUGGCAUGACCGUGGCAUUGAAUACAAACAUAUUACCUUUGUCUUCAUCCUCAUCUUUCUCAACGGUUGGAGAUUGUUCAGUGGCUUCUCCACAACCAUUCGAAGAUUCUACGAUCCCAUUCUCCUCGCAAGGAAUAUUCUCAUCCAAGUCCUCCCCUGCCAUACCUAAUUAAAUGGAAAAUCCUCUCAAGUUUAAAUUUGAACAAAACAAAAGGACACCGCUUAAAGCCCGGCUGGGCCAGCUCUCAUCUAUCAGUCCAUGAGAAAAUGCAACAUUAUAAAAUAACGAAAAGAAAAAAAACAGAAAUUAGCAAAACAGAACAUUUCGAACCCAAAAUAGACAAAGUAGCAUCAACCGACUUGUGGUUGGUAGGCAAAAUCCGCUACCAAUAACAGCCGCGGUACCGGUUGGUAGUGAUUUUCAGAUUUUCUACACUACUGCUCUCUCCAAUUACGAAUGCUCAAAUGCUACUCUAAAGCCCCCAAUUGCCAACUUGAACUACAAAACCUUCACAUGGAUCAUUGAAUCCAUCUAAAAUUGAAUAUGCCAGCAUAGAUGAACCAACUUUAAUCCUAUUCACCAUUAUUGUAAAGUUUAUGCAUACAGAAUUCGUUUUCAAACCUCUGAAGCACAGAAAACCCAGUACAAAAACAUGAAUGAAAUCAAAAAAGUUUGAAACUUUAGAAACCCCAACAAAACUAUUCCAAGUCCCAACUCAGAUAUUCACAAAUGGGCUGUAACAUUACCUACUCUUAAACAAGCACAGGCAUACGUAGGAGACGACGUCGACGAGCUUGGUGUUGAGGUUGACGAAGUCGGCCUAUAGCCGCGGAUGAUGAGGUCGAUGAGGUCGUGGUUGCGGGAGGCGAGGUAGGACUCGAGCUCGGAUCGGAGGAAGUCGAAGUCCGGCGAGAGAAAGAGCGCGGGGUUGAACCAGAGGGGUCGGAGAAGAAGUCGACAGGUUUGAGGUGGGAGGCUGAGAGAGAUUUGAGUGAUCGAGUCUGUGUUUUAGACUUUGACUAGGGUUUUCUAAUACAAUGAACGGUUCAGAUUAGCUCAAACAAUAAUUAUUUAAAUAAAUACAAAAUAUUAUUAAAUAUAUUGGUACGGUAUACCAUGUCAAUACCGUACUAAUUGCAAUUGGUACGGUUGUACCAUUUUAAACUUUCGGUACCAACUUGGUUUGGUUCGGUUGGUUGGUUUGGUUUAGACUUAAAUGUCGGCCCUACAAAAUAACAUCAUAAAGUUCAUAACUGAGCACAGCUAAAUGACAAUAGCUAAUAUAAGAAAAUACAGCACAUUUGGUAUAAGAGAUUGUCUAACCCAGGCUUAAUUUCUAAUGGAGUCCAACACUACUCAAGUCAGGCUUAUUCUACAAUAAGUCUAACCCAUGUUUGGUGGCAGUAUGACUGAAAAUAACACCACCUGCAAACAACUUCAAAAGCAAUAAACAAUUGAACACAAACCCAUAAGCAAUGAACGACUUCAGCCAAUGGGUUGGCAAUGAACACAGUCUCCAUAAGCAAUGAACAAUUGAACACAAAACCCAUCUUUCAUAAAUAGAUCAAACUUCAACAAAUUAAAGGCUUCAAAUAUUUCUUUUUUCAUUCUUCAGCAUUAGAAGUUACAUUUACAACAGAAAAGUGAAAUACUCUUACUUUAGAAUCAAACUACUGCAAAGGCACCGAUUACAUCAAUUAUGCAGCUUUUGUCCUCCCAUCAAACCUAACUUCCAAAGAGAUCGAACCAAAUUAAAAAGAAGCACAAAUUCCUCCAAAAGCAAGCAAGAGAAGACGACCAGAUCGUGGAUCUUGCCGGCGAGCAACACGUCGUCCGAGUACUCUUGAUCGACUUAGGCUGACACAAGGGCUUCCCCAUCUAGAGAAGCUGGGCUUUGUUCAUCUCAGUACAAAAAAUUUGUCCUCUUUGAUGACGAUGACAAGAAUUUGAAGAGAUAAGACACAUAAGAAUCAGAAACCCUUAUAUAUAGAGUGGGUAAUCGAUGAAGAUCCAGACAAAAAGCAAUUGGAGGUGAGAGGGGAGGCAAGGCUGAAGCAAAGAAUUCAGUUUUAGGAGAAAAAAAAAAUUAGGUGUGUAUUGGAUGAUAGAUGGUCCCCUGAUUUUUGAUGGGUUUGUGGUAGAAGGUUUGAAGGUGGGCCCGGGGACUGUAACUUCAUUUAAAAUAGUCAUUCUCUCUCCCAAACAUGGGACAAGUCUUAUUUCUUUAUGUAAGUAGUCUAGUCCCCACUAAUCCUGUGAAACAAACGUGUUCUAAGUAAUAAAAUGAAAUGGCAAGUCAAUGACAGACCAAAAGAUUUAUAGUUAGUCAUCAUUAGAUUUAAAUCUAAUGGUAGAAAGAAUUAUUUUUAAGUAGAGCUGUUUUGUUUUCAACCAUUGGAUAUAAAUCUAAUGGUGACUGACCAUGAAUCUCUUGGUCAGUCAUUGAACAUGUGAACACUACUUAUCCAAAUAUAAAUAUUCAUCUUAGAAAAUUUCUAGAAAGAAAGGCUCUUCCUUCUCUCUAAAAAUUUUCUCCAUCACAACCAAUAUUUUGAGAGUCAUCCGAAGCCAACCCCUUCCACCACCACCACCAUCAUCUUCAUCCCAUCCACUCACUCCAUCUCCUUCGUCCCUUGCACAUAGCCUCCCUUUUGUAGACCCACUUUCUCUUUCCUCUCUCUUCUUCAACUACAUCACCCCUCUACCACUUCUAGCUCUUCACAAUCAAUGCUGCUCUCAUCAGUCCUUCACCGUUGAGAGUACAUCUCACUCUUACCACCUUCAAUACUGUCACAUCCCGGUUCUUAAAUAAUUUUGUGGUUACUUACUUUUGCGAUAAUUUGAUCUUUUACCAUUUUAAGUAACCGUUUACUAUUUAGGGACCCUAGAGUUGACUUUUCAUAAGAAAAAUAUUUUGGAAAAAUUUCUUAAAGGGAGUCGUAGAAGACAUUAAUACGAAUCUAUAAAUAUGCUAUACGUUUUAAUCGGAGUUCGUAUGUAAAAGUUAUGGUGUAAAAUCUAAAGUUACUAUUUCAGUCGGGAGUAUAAAAAGGGAAACUUACCAAAAGGGGUAAGGUAGAAAUCAGAAAUGUAAUACCCUAGAUUUUCAUAUCAAUUUUCCUCGUAUUAUUUCCGGAAUUAAUGAAGGAAUAUUUAUGGAAAUUCUUAUUUGGUUGUGCGAAGUUGAAAUUUGGGAGUAUUUUUUUUAGGUGCUUUGUCUUUUAAGAGAUCAAAAAGUUGACUUUAUUUUCCGUAAGUUAUUUUCGAAAACUUCCUUCAUAAAAGUUGUAGAGUUUGUCGAUACGAGUUCAUAGACACACGGCAGGUGUAAAUCAGAUGUCAUAUGAGAAAGUUAUGGUUAUAGGAAGUUAGUUUUCGGUUUUAGAAAGAGUAUAAGUAGAAAAAUUUGUGGGAGUUAUUUUUUGGAAACCCUAAAGUCAGCUCUCUCUCUCUUCUCUCUUCUCUCUCUUCCUCUCCCGAGCUCACCUCAUGCAGCUAACUUUCGUCGGAGCUAGGUCCGCUGUCCGGCCACCAUUUGGACCGCCACCGGUCCCAUUCGACUCCCACAGGUGUCCUCUUCAAGGCUGGGCAGCUGCUACUCGACGUAGCGCUCCGGAAUCGGAGCCCCUUGCCGGAAAAGGGAGCUGCUGCAUCGCCGAUCGGAACUGUCGUAUAUGGCGACGACGGGGGGCAACCAUAGGUGAGUUUUGGUCCUCUCCUCCUCUUGGUUGUGGCUAGGCAUAGUUUGAAGCAAGUUUUUGAGUUGUUGUGCCUGGAUUUGCAGAUUUAAGGUUAAUCUCCAUGAUGGAGUUUCGAGGCACUGUUCGGCCGUUUCUGGUCAAAAUAGGUUGAAACCUCAAGUAUUAAAGUUGCUCUCCAUGCUUCAAUCUACAAGUUUCAUGUUGAGAGUUUCCCCAAAUUUUGAAGUUGGGGGUGACGCGUGGGGCUCACUCGCCGCCGCCUGUAGCGGAGCUUCCAGGCAGUGUGGGGGAUUUGGUUGCCGUGUUAGCUAGUCCUUGUUAGUUACUAGUGUGUUGUUGUGUGUGAAGGCUAAGUGGUGUUUUGGUUUUGGUAUCUUAGGUGCUAUGUUGUUCUUGGUGUUUAUUAGGUCAUAAACUUUGAAAGUUUAAUCUUGGAGGUAGUAUGAUUUGUUAGUUGAGUGUCCAAUGACCUUGGGAGGUCUCGGAGGAAUGAUUGUACUUCUUUGGGCAACCUUUAGGUUAAGGGUACCUUGAUCCUUGUUGAGAAAUUACUAAAGUUUUAAUUGUGUAAUUUUAGGUGAUUUGUGAGGUUGUAGUUUAGUUUGGCUCUUGUGUUUUGCGGAAACGCAGCAGGAUAUUGAAGUGAGUAAAUCUCACCAAGGUUCACUUUUGAAUCAAAUUUUAUUAUGGUCAUUUGAUGUUGAUGUUGAAUUUAAUAAUAUGCUAUUAUUUGUUUUUAAAAUAUAUGAGCUUAAUCAUCAACGAUUCAUAGGUAAGAUAAAACAAGUUUUCCUUAUAUGUUUAUUUUUGAGGUUCAUGUGAUCAUAAUUUUAUUGAUUAUUGAUAGAUUAUUCUUGUGGAAUAUCUAUAUUUAUUCAUAUAAAUAUAUAUAUGUGGAAAGAUAUAAUUUAUGAUGUGAUCUUGUGUUGUUGAUGAUGGUGUUGUGAUAUUGUGAGUGUUGGAUAAAUAGCCAAACCGGGUUUCAAGCCUUUAAUCGGGUGAUUGGUUACGGUUAUGAUGAUAUUUUUAUUUUGUGAUUUGUUAUUGGACAAUUAAACUGGGUUCCAAGCCUUUGGCCGGGUGAUUGGUUACGGUUAGGAAUAGAGCUAUAGUCCGUCUGUCGGUGUAGGUCAUGGGAGAUAUCUUAUGGUAUCUGGGACCCAUGGGUACACAAAUUGUUGUUGUAGGUCAUGAGAGGUAUUUAUUAAUAUAUGGGACUCAUGAGUACAUGUUAUUUGUAAAAAUGUUGGAAUUGUGGAUUUAAUUAUAGAUCUAAAUUUUGCUCUUGGGAUAUAUUUGGAUGUUUAAAAGUGUUGUGUUAUUUUUGAGAGAUUACUCAUACGGGCUUUUUAGCUUACCUGGUUUGUUGUUUACAACCCGGUUCACCAAUUCUUGGUGUAGGGGUUAGACCUGCAGGUGAGGAUCAGCAGGGUUGAAGCGGAGGCUUAGUGGUAGGGUUUUUAUUGGGUUUUGAUGUUCACUGUAUAUUUUUAUAUUUGGGGUAGACAGUAUUAAACUCAUGUGAGUGUUUUUAUUUUCUUGAUUUUCAAGUUUAUGUAAAUAAAGAAAUGUAAUAUUUAACUCAGUGUUGAAUUGUGUGACAUUUACAUUUUCGCAUUGAGUUUUAGUUUUCCUUGAAGUUUGUUUGAAACAGGUUUUGAGAUUAUAAUAUUUUAGGUUAUAUCAUGCCAAAUUUUUUAAAAAUUAUCCUUCGAAAAAUUUUCAAAAAAAUUAAGGGUGUGACAAGAAAGUUACACUCCCUCUCUCUCUCUCCUCUCCCCCGCAACUCUCUCCUCUGACAGACAUCUCGCCACCGUCCGCUGUCGUCCGGCCGAGUCGAGCGGCAAACUUGGUAUCAAAUUGAAGCUGGGAUCUUCCUCUUCAAGUCUAGGUAGGUGGCUAGUCGUAAUGUGCCGCCUUGAAGGAGAAAUCACUCCGGAAAGGCGUGCCUUCACCGCCGAGUUCUUCUCGCCGGAACUCCCUUCUCCAGCCAUCAUAGUUGAAGCUUCUUGUCUUGUUUGGAAGCUCUCAUCUUGUACAACAAAACCUCAAAAGGUUUCAACCUAAUUCGAUCUAGGUAAGGAGAAUCGUUGAUUUGAAAUUUUAGGGUUCUUGAAAUGGGGUUUUUAUGUUUUGGUUCGAUUUGCCUAUUUAGACAAAAUGGAGACCGUAUCCAACCACUGUGAACCUUCUACCUUCGACACUUGUAGGCGAGCCACACCGUUGAACCACUGACGCUGGACCAUCCACCAACAACUGUGAGGUGUCGCACCAAUCCCGCAACACUCCCAUCUUUGAUUUGUCCGUCUUCCGUGCUAAAUCCAUCAAUGCAGCAACAACCACAUGUUAGAGAGAAAAACUACUCCUCGAUUCGAGCCUUUGAACGAAAGAGUACAUCCACAAAGCCUGUAUACAGCCUUUACAUCGACAGUCAGCCUCUUAAGUUACUCAGGUACCAUUUUUCCUGUACAUCCACAAAGCCUCUGACCGCGGCCAUCGUACACCGGCGUGGCCAGAGGCUGACACCAACUGAAAGUAUAGAAUGGAACAGAAUAUGGAAGGAUUGAAUAUGUAGAUUCAAUCCUUUAUCAAAUUAAAAGCAACAGACACAAGAACACAAGAUUUUGUUAACAACAAUGUAAACCUCCCACGAGGAAACGUCACUACGAGACUUUUAAAGUAGUCUAUACUAAAUCAAAUCCAUUAUAGAGUAAGAAUGAUUACAGACCUAUCAAAUAGGAUAUUCAACACAAUCACAUUCACUAGUAUACAAACUAACUUGAUACAAACUGAUAACCUUAUUCUAACUCUCCAUGAAUCUGAGUUGCACACAAGAAGGAUCUGAACACGCCUUCAAUGCUUUCCAAGCCACUGAUCUUGAUCACUAUAAGAAUGACAGAUGCAAUGAUACAAGCAUAUAAUUUGACAAGAGUUUUCACAUAAACAAUGCAGACUAUGCAACAUAUACUUUAUUCUUUUGACGCACAUAAACUCUGUAGUUUGGAAAAGUAUUUCCAUGUUUAUAUAUAGAGUGAUACAACUCCCACAUAAUCGAUCACCAUUGAUCACUGAUUAGGAUAAACAUGGAAACCAAUUUUGAAACCAUAAUCAGAUAUAUUUUCCAUAACAGAAAGAUAUGAUAAGAGUAAAACUUUUCCAAAACAAAGUAAGUGAAAGAAUAUAAUCAUAUUAGAACUUCUUUCCUUACGCAUUAUCAUAUUAGAAUAUAGAGAGAAUAAUUUCCUUAUUAAAAUACUAAUCAAAUUAGAUUUAAUAAGGAAAUUCAAUCAGAUAUUUAAGCACAUAAAAUCUAAUCAAAUUAGGUUUCCUUUCUUUUCUCAUGCAGCAAUAAAACACGAAAUACACUCCUUAAAAUGAAUGAAUAUCACCUGCAAUGAAACUUGUUCAAAUUAGAAUUAAGAAAGGAAAUAUAUCAUAUUUGGUGAGAGAUUACUUUUGUAUAGGAAUGACAAUCAUGAAUAUUAUGCCUACACCAACGCCGCAACGUAGCUGGACAAGAGGGAGAGAGCACCAUAGAGAAUUCUAAGUUACACGUGUGUGGCGUGUUCUAGAAAAAAGAGAGCGUAAAAAAAUGUACCGCUAACUAGUCCUUAACUUAAGAGUCCUUAUUAAAAUGACUCUUUUUUAUUAAAUGAUGAAAUGGUGUAUACAUGGUAUCAAAUUCUGGUUUUUUUUUUAGUGAAAAAUUCUGGUUUUAGGUAAGAGGCUCUUGCAAAACGAAGAUUUGAGAUCAGUUAAUUCCUUGUUAGUCUAGUUGCUUUAGCACUUGUAUUCAUUCCGUUCCAUGUUAGCUUCCAAAAAACAAUAGAAAAAAACACUUUCAGAUCGAUCAGGGCUGACAUUUGAGUAGAACCACCUACCUUGUCAAGAGUCCGUAUUUAAUCUUGAGCUAACAAUUUCAAGUUUAAUGAGGAUCCCCUUACCAACACUGAUUUUCAUAGGAACAUUCGGAGAGAAAAUUAGAGCUGUCCUGGCUCAUUGGGGAAAAAACAAGGAAAAAGGUUGGAGAACGGCUUUAAAUGUAACUUGUUAGUCUUUUGGAACCAUGUACCACAAAAAACAUAAAAACAGAUGACUGUUCAGUUAAUUAAAAUUCUGGGUAAGGGUGGGCAUAAAAUCUCGUAAUCCCGAACCUGUUCCGAUCCCGUCCCAAAAUUUGUCGGGAUGGGACGGGAUUUAAAUAUCAAAACAUUAGACCCGUCCUGUCCCAUCCUUAUACAACGGGACGGGACGGAUAAUUCAAGUCCCGUUUAGACCCGUCCUAUCCCAACUAUUUUAAUAAUUAAUUUUUUGUUGAUUAAUAUGUGAUUUGAAGAUUUCAUUUAAGUGUUUUAAUCUUAGCUCUUUGUUUUUUAAGUUAAUAGAUUGUCUCCAAUUCAAUAACAUUGAUGUUUAAUACUUUAAUUUGUUGAUUGUUGUAGACUCUCUUCUUGCACUGCACGGUAGUAGUGAUGAUAUGUUUAGAAAAAAUAAGCAGUAUAAACUCUCUUAUUAUACCGUGUUGUACUUGUAAAUAUGUUACAAGUACUUGUUAAUAGUUAAUAGAAUAAAGAACACUAUAAAACUAUGAAACUCUUUCUUUUACUUAUAAAUUUAUUUUCAACUUCUUUUAUCCGGGAUUGGGCCCGUCCCAACCGGGAUAGGACCCGGGUGGGAUAAAAUCUAAAAAAUGCAAAACCCGUCCCGUCCCGUCCCGUCCCGUCCCGAUUUCAAUAUCCGGGACGGGCCGUGAGAUUUGCUCUAUCCCGUCUCAUCCCGUCCCAAGCCCACCCCUAAAUUUCUGGGAAUCAGAAAUAAAAACAGAAGGAAAGAAGGAAAAAAAAAAAAGGAAUGAAAAAACACAGUACAACGCCCUGCAGAUAUGCAUGGCAAUUUUUAUCUUCAUGAUCAGUAAUCAUCGCCUCUUGAUAUGACCUCUUUACAGGUUGGCCGAAGUAAAAUUGUAUGUUCAAACUGAGAUACAUAGCUUCCCUUAACAUCACAGAGAGGAGGACAGGGCUGCCAGAAGAAACAAACCAUCACAUUAAUUUCAGUUGAGCAAAAUGGGAAGAUUAACAGAAGCUAUGUUGUAUUAUAUAAAGUUAAGAUGAUCCCUCAAGCAUCCCUUAACGGGAAAAAUAAUGCACAUAUUUUGUAGUCAGCAACAUUUAUCAACUAAGAAAUUGUCAAGCUGGUCAAUUUUACAAUACAAGGCAAAUAUGAAAUCCCACCAACAGGGAGAGUCCCUAGGUACACAAGUGUAUAUUUGCAAAAUAGAUUUUUACCGAAGAUAUUUCAAUUUGAUCAGGCAAAAUUUUAUGUCUCUGAGAGGCCUGUUUUACAACCCACAUUAAAGCAGACUUUCACAAAAGAGCAUCCAUGUCUAUGAAGUUCCUAUUGCUUAUCACUAGUAGUCAGAUCCUAACAUGAUUUGUUUGUUUCCAUCAGUUCAGCAUAUGCUCUACCUACUUAUCAGUUGUCAUGCAAUGCAAGCAAUCCCUAAUACAUGGUUUCCCGUACAAAGAAAUUCACAUUAGUACCAUAAAGCUGAAAGCAAUGUCCACCUUUUAUUUAUGAUUAGUAGUCACAGAUCCUUGUGUGUUAACAGGAAAAACGGUUCCUGAGUGCAAACUAUUUGAGUUCACAUCUCAGACACACACUUAGACUGCACCUCCUAGAUUCUAUAUUUCUCAUGUGACAUUAUAGCUCACAGCUAACUUAUAUAAUUUUCAUGUAAACCAUUUUCCAUAAGACUUGAGCAUGUUAAAGCAUCAACAAAAAGGCAUGCAAAUCAUGGACAUAAAACAACUUCUUCACUUGUGACAGUUACAGAUUGUGUGUCAUGAACUGGAAAAUUUGUGGUACUUUAUAAGACUGAAUUCUUGUGGAUGAUUGUUGCAUAAUAACAAAAGUUAAACUAAAUGCAAGAUUCACAAUGCUAAAUAAGUAAUCCGAGAUGAAACAAUGUUAUUUUAUGGGUACUGACAUCGGCAGUUAAUGUAUAGAUAUUUGGAUAAAUGCUCAUGAAUGAAAUGUACCUGCACAAUGCCAGCAUCACAUAAAUUCUUAAGCGCCAUAAGAUACUUUGUCUCCCCCAGGCGGUCUAAAUAUCGCCUGCAGAAGGCCAAUGUGGAGAAGUUCUUGUUAAUUGUUGCUAGCAGUUGCUUUGCCCUAGGCAGCCUCAGUGGGAUGUGACCCGCAUCAAAAUUUUUCAUGUAAUGGCUGCACUCUAGAUCUUCUCUGACAUAUCCUUUCCCUAAAUACAAGUUAUAUAAAAAGGGACAGUUAGAACUUAGGACAGAAAGCCACAUGUGAACUAGUGUGCCAUCUUUCACACCAGAAAUCAAAGUCCUACCAAUUAUAAAAACUUGGUUAUACCAGUUGAUGCGAAAGUUUCGAUUGCAAAAAAUUCACCCUCUUCCAUUUUUGUCUGCUCCCCUCCUUUUACAAUGGGAACUGAUUUUCCAGCAUGGAUUUGGUAAGGUCCAAUGCUAUGUCCAUUCAAGUUCCGGAUACUUUUAAC